GCUGGGUGUUGCCUAGCAGGGGAGAAAAAGCUCCGACGCCAGAAAUGAAGGAGGGAGGAGGACCUCGGAGGGGAGGAAGAGGAGGCGCAGAACCAGGAGACGGAGUUUGGGGGAACAACCGCUGCGGAGCGCGCAGGACCCAGAGGACUCAAAGGGGACCUGGAGGGUGACGACGCCUUCGUGGCCGGGGGUGAAGAGGAGGAAAGCCGCGCGGGCGGAGAGGCGCUGGUGGGUCCCAGGCUGGAGGCUGCGGGUCUGAGAGGCUUCGGAAGCCCAGGGCAGCCCGGGCCACGCCUGAAAACGAGGGCAGCUGAGCGCACGCCAGGGAGAGGCACCCGCGUCCGGGACCGGCCGCGGUGGGAGCCAGACUCGCGAAACCGGCGGGCCUGAGGCUGGGACCUGCGCGGGGGCGGACGCGGCACAGCCGGGGGGCCGGUCCCGCGGGCCCCGCCCCGCCACGCCCCCCAGCCUGGAGCCCCGGCCCCCGUCCGCAGAGGAGACGGCCCCGGAAAAGCCAGAGUCUUGGAAGGGAGCGCGGGACGGAGCCGGCAACAGCGUCCGCGACCCGCGAACCGCGACCCGCGACCCGGCUCUGAAGCGGGGACGACCGGAGCUUCCGCCCGCAGCCCAACCUCCCAGGCGCCCGGCAAGACUGGCUGGCGCGGACCCUUUAAGGAAGCCGGGGGCGUGGCCCGGGGCGGGGCUUCAGGGGCGGGGCCCGGGCGGGGCCUUCGCGAAGCUGCCGGAAGGUGCGGCCCCAGAGCGCCCGCGAGCGGCGCGGUGAGACAUGGCCUCGGGCAGGUGGGAGGCGGCGGUGGGCUGGGGCGGCCUCUGGGAAGGGCAGGCAGCCUUGGCCAGGCCCCUCACCGCCGCCCCCACAGCCAGAUGAGAAGUACGACGUGGGAGACAGGGAGCACUUGGAUACCCUCGGAGACCCAGUGGAGCCCGACGAUGGAGAAGGCGGGGGCUGUGGUGCACCUCAAGCAGGUAGGCCCCUGCACAGGCACCAGAGCCGAGGGCACAGCCUCACCCAGGAAGGCAGCUGGGGGUCCACUGGGGUCAGGGAUGACCCCCUACCAGGGGAGCCCCCAGGCGCCUGAAUGGCCACGGGAAGGAGAACCUGCAAACCCCUCUGUGUGUCCUCCUGGCACGUGGCGACCUCCGUGACCCGAUGAGGGCGCAGGAGCAGGCCAGGGUGGCCACGUGCAGGGGCACAGGGCCCGGGGCAGGGUGACCAGACGCAGGGGUGCGGGGCUGGGCCAGGGUGGCCAGGUGCAGGGGCCCGGGGCAGGGUGACCAGAUGCAGGGGUGUGGGGCUGGGCCAGGGUGGCCGAUCUUGGGGGGGGCCUGGGGCAGUGCCCCGGUGGGGCUGUGGUGGGGGCCGCAGGGCCCUGGGGGGCUGUGGUGGAGUCUGUAGGACUCUCAGUGGUUGUGGUGGGGUCUGCAGGGCCCCGGGGGGCUGUGGUGGAGUCUGCGGGGCCCUGAAGUGUUGUGGGGUCUGCGGGGCCCUGGGUCCCCCUGAACUUAGAUGCAGGCCUCUCCCUGGCAGCCCCUCAAGGCCACAAGGAUCAGUGCUCGGAGCCUGGAGCGCUGUGUGCAGGAGCUUAGCAGGGCCACCGAUGCCAGCGGGAAGGCCAGGCAGGGCUUCUGGGUGGAGUUCGAGGUGUGUCCUGACCUCUGCGACCCUCAGACUCUGUCCCCUGGGGCUGGGAGCACAGGGUCCGGGACUGUAGGGUCCAGCCCUGCGGGGCUUAGCGGGCGUUCUCCCCAUGUGCGGAAACGAGAGAUUGUAAUAAAGACACAAGACAGCGAUAAAGAGAAAGCAGCUGGGCCCAGGGAACCACUGCCAUCAAGACACGGAGACCGGUAGUGGCCCCGAACGGCUGGGGGCGCUGAUAUUUAAUGGAUACAAGACAAGGGGGCAGGGUAAGGAGGGUGAAUCUUCUAAGUGAUUGACAAGGUGAAGCAAGUCAUGUGAUCACGGGACAGGGGGCCCUUCCCUUUUAGGUAUCAGAAGCAGAGCGAAGGCAGCAUACCUCAGCGUUUUCUUCUCUGCACUUACAAGAAAGACCAAAGGCUUUAAGAUUUUCACUAUUUCUUCUACCGCUGUCUACUACGCACUUCAAAGAGGAACCAGGAGUACGGGAGGAGCAUGAAGGUGGACGAGGAGCAUGACCACUGAAGCACAGCGCCACAGGGAGGGGUUUAGGCCUCCGGAUGACUGCGGGCAGCCCUGGAUGAUAUCCAGCCUCCCACAAGAAGCUGGUGGAGCAGAGCGUUCCCUGACUCCUCCAAGCAAAGGAGACUCCCUUUCGCGGUCUGCUAAGUAACGGGUGCCUUCCCAGACACUGGCGUUAUCGCUUGACCAAGGAGCCCUCAAGCGGCCCUCAUGCGGCGUGACAGAAGGCUCACCUCUUGUCUUCUUCGUCACUUCUCACAAUGUCCCUUCAGCACCUGACCCUACACCCACCCGUUAUUCCUAGGUUAUAUUAGUAAUGCAACAAGGAGUAAUAUUAAAAGCUAAUGAUUAAUAAUGUUUAUAAUAAUGAUUGAUAAUUGCCCGUGAUCAUCUCUGUAUCUAAUUUGUAUCAUGACUAUUCUUACUCUAUUUUCUUUAUUAUACUGAAACAGUUUGUGCCUUCAGUCUGUUGCCUCAGCACCUAGGUUCUCUUCUGCCCACACAGGACAAGGUGGGGUUGGCCAUCUAGGGCUCUGGGAAGGAGCCUGGGCUGUGAACUGAAGGCUCCAUCACCUCCAGAUGCUGCAGCAGCAGGAAUGCUGGUUCCUGUACCCUGGAAAGGAGGGGCAGAGGGUAGAGAACAAGCCCAAGAAUCACUGUGAGGGCAGAGGCCAGGGCGUCACCCGUCGGGCCUGGGGAAGGUCGGGGGCAAGCCAAGCAUCUGCCACCACGGACCUGAGGCUUCCCCUCCCACACCCUGGACCCUCCAUCUCUGCUCACCACGGGGUCUGCAGGCAAAGAGGCAGGGUUGGGCCCACGAGCUCUGCCCUGGAGAACUGAGCGGCACCUCCCUUCCCAGUUGACACCACCUGAGUCAUCUUGCUCGACAAGGAUGACAGUGGGCCUGGAGCCGACUACAUCAGGGUGGGUGUGCGCAGGAGGUGGGGCCUGGGCCCAUUGCUCCUGGGGGGCCCAGGAAGAACCAGGGUCCCCAGGGGAGGGGUGGGCAGCAGUCCCCAAGGGGUCCUCAGAGAGGCUGGACGGGCAUAGGUCCUCAGCCCCUUGCUGGCCUGGAGUGAGGAGUGUGUUUGAGCCACCAGAGCUCCUUUGCUUAGUAUUUGCAUAAUAUUUGCAUAGCAUUUGCAUGGACUUGUUUGUCCUCUGGAAACAGCAGCAGUUGGCCUCAUCCCCUUUCAGACUGACCCUGAGGAGGAGCCAGGCCAUGGCGGGUGUACAUCGCCACACAGGGCUGUCUGCAGGCCGUGGUGCACCAGGAGAACAUGCGUGGCAUUGUCACCACCAGCAGGGAGGUGGAGCGAGGCCGGGUAGGGGCGUGGUGCCAGCACUCCCAGUGCCCAUCCCACCCUGUGCAUCUUCAGCUGCCCAAGGCCCUUCCCGACCAGGCCAAGGAGCCUGUGGGACGCUGUGGGAGUGGGGAGGCUCCCACAGAGCCCCAUGGCUGCAUGUACACGCAUGCAUCUCUGCAGGGCGCAGGGGCAGGGUGUUGGGGGCCUGCCGGCAAGGCUGAUGCGAACCACUCCCCCAAGAACAAGUGUUUCCGGGACUGGCCCAGAGUUUGGCUGGGUGCAUGUGGGCAUCCUGGGUGAGGGCCAGGCCCAGGGCUACUGCGUGCAGGAGCUGCAGGUGUGGCGGCCGGGCCAGGUGAGCCUGGC
This is a long non-coding RNA of Macaca mulatta (Rhesus monkey), 3852 nucleotides long. Lineage: Eukaryota; Metazoa; Chordata; Mammalia; Primates; Cercopithecidae. The record is from Ensembl.